AGUGGCCUAGUGGUUAAGACGUCCGCCUGGUAACCCAGGGGACGUGGGUUCGAGCCCGG
RNAcentral lists this transfer RNA (59 nucleotides) under Oxyrrhis marina. The record is from RNAcentral. Lineage: Eukaryota; Dinophyceae; Oxyrrhinales; Oxyrrhinaceae.